GUUUGAUUAUGGCUCAGGAUGAACGCUAGCUACAGGCUUAACACAUGCAAGUCGAGGGGCAGCAUGAUCAAAGCUUGCUUUGAUUGAUGGCGACCGGCGCACGGGUGAGUAACGCGUAUCCAACCUUCCCUAUAGUAGUGGAUAGCCCGGCGAAAGUCGGAUUAAUACACUAUGUUGUAUUUAGAGGACAUCUGAAGAAUACCAAAGGCUUGCCGCUAUAGGAUGGGGAUGCGUCUGAUUAGAUAGUAGGCGGGGUAACGGCCCACCUAGUCGACGAUCAGUAGGGGUUCUGAGAGGAAGGUCCCCCACAUUGGAACUGAGACACGGUCCAAACUCCUACGGGAGGCAGCAGUGAGGAAUAUUGGUCAAUGGACGGGAGUCUGAACCAGCCAAGUAGCGUGCAGGAUGACGGCCCUAUGGGUUGUAAACUGCUUUUAUACGGGGAUAAAGUGAGCCACGUGUGGCUUUUUGUAGGUACCGUAUGAAUAAGGACCGGCUAAUUCCGUGCCAGCCGCAGC
RNAcentral lists this ribosomal RNA (518 nucleotides) under uncultured bacterium. RNAcentral describes it as "bacterial SSU rRNA". It matches the Rfam family "Bacterial small subunit ribosomal RNA", at positions 11 to 518 of the family's 1533-position model. The record is from RNAcentral.